GGACCAACGUUGGUCACGGUUCUUCUAAGUGUCAUAGCUUUAACAUGUGUGUUCUCUGGGAACAAAGCUGAGAUCGCCGGGUAGUUCAAGUUUCCAGGGUUAUUACCGGCAAGACUGUGUCUGCAAGAUCUGUUUGAAUGCUUUGUGAAGACCUUGAGCUGUGAAGGACUCAACUCCUGAGUGCAUAGGAAAUCAAAAUACUCCUGAGGUCCAAUGUCGUAGACUAGACCAGGAUCCAUAGCUUUCAGAGGAUCUAUAUGUCCAGCACCGUGAUCAUAAGGCGACGAAGGUUCUGCUCCUGCUGCAUCCGUAAGAGGCUCAAGCAUGUUGUCGUGAACGUAAGCGGUUGUCAUGAGAGCUGAUUUGACCGCUGCAGGGCUCCAAUCUGGAUGCCUUGAUCUGAUUAAAGCAGCCACGCCGCUCACGUGAGGACAUGACAUGGAAGUUCCCGACAGUAUAUUGAACUUAACCCUCCUUUUGUCAGACGACAAACUAGACGGCGCCAUGUCUCCAGACCAAGCUGCGAGAAUGUUGACUCCCGGAGCUAGCAAGUCUGGUUUCAAGAUCUCCAGGGAGAGAAAGUUCGGUCCUCUCGAAGAGAAUGCUGCUACAACAGGAGACGGUUUGAUCCCAACUCUUGUCCCAAGAAUCUCCAAACUCGCUGUAGCUCUUUUACUCGUCAUCGCAUACUCCUUGAUCACUUUACCUUCCUUCUCUCCUACCGCAACAGCUGGUAGCAAAUGACAAUCUGCCACAAGCUCUUCACCGUUCGUCGCGGUGUUGGUCAGUAUCAUCCCAACACCUCCUGCUCUUUUCACAACCUGGCCCUUCUGGACACGUGGAGUAACACCACGGUCGCAUAUCACGAUUUUCCCUGCUACGUUGUGCUGGUCCAAAGCACCGUCUAGACAGAACGACGUCGGAUCAGGACUACUUGCGUUCCUUCCUAAGUAAACAAGAGGAUACUGUUUUCCCGGAGACAAAACCGUUCUGCCUUUGUAAAGAGAAACUCCUUUGAAGACUCUCCUAGUUCCUAGCCUCACCGUGGCUGGAAAGUCUCUGUCCAUGGUACUUGCCCCAACCGUUGUGAUCCACGGAGAAACAUUCGUGAGGCUGAUCGGAUCAGGUCCUCCGUUACCUGCCGAACACGAGACGAACACUCCCAUCUCCAUUGCUCCAAACGUUGCUAUAGCCAAACUGUCACGGGAGUAAGUCGAGAUCCCACCGCCUAAGGAUAUAGAUAGAACAUGGACUCCAUCAGCUACGGCUUGAUCAACCGCUGAUAAGAUGUCCGAGCUGAAACAUCCACCAACCCAACAGACUUUGUAAGCAGCCACUCGUGCCUUUGGAGCCAUCCCUCGAGCCGUUCCAUAAGCAAAUCCGAGAAGAUUUGCUCCUCUGACAGGCGAGCCAGCUACUGUUGCUCCAGUGUGCGUCCCGUGACCGUCUUUGUCUCUUGGUGAUCUGUACUCAAGCUCCUGGUCGAUCUUCCCCGUCGCAGCUUCGUAUCCUCUGUAGAAAACUCUAGCACCGACAAUCUUUCUGUUGCAGUUAUGUUUCAAGAACCCUCUUCCGGUUUCGCAGACACCUCUCCAAGUAGAUGGGACAGGAGACAUGCCUGUGUCGUUGAAGCUCUCACUCUCGGGCCAUAUCCCAGUGUCUAAGACACCAACGACCACAUCAUGGUCGGUGACUCUCUCAGCCCAAACUCUCUCACUCUCUUGCCUCUCUAACCCGAGAAACCUGGGACUUCUUGUGGUGUGGAGCUCGUACCUUGUCUCCGGAAUCACAGCUACAACGCCAGGCUCUUCCUCGAGCCUCGCUGCUUCCUCUUUGCUAAGCCGAGCUGCUAAUCCGUGAAACGCAGUCUGGUAAGUGUAGAGUAUUCUGUUACCUUCUUCUUCAUGUGAUUUGGGAUCUGUUACAGAGUCUAUCUUGGAAGAGUACCAUUGUAGGUGAUUAGUGUAAGGUGAAGGCAUGGCGGAUUUGUCCAUGUGGACAACAUAAGUCUUCUUCUGACCAGUUUCUGCAUGUAGAGACAUGAGAUUGAGGGAUAAGAUGAUGAAAAGAAAACAUUUCUGAAGUGGGUUUUUGCCAGCCAUUGUUAGAAGAAGCUCAAGGAUUAUCUCUCUCUCUCUUUUUUUUUGGGAGAAGGAGAGAUAGAAGAGUCGUUGUUACUUGGAGGAAGUAAUAAAGGUGAAGCAAGUAAGAAUCAUAGAUAAUACAUGACACUCAAAUGGAAUUAAUGAUAGAAACGGACUAACUAAACAUACAAAUGAUUAAUUUGAAUACACUUCCAAACUAUAAGUUAUGUUAUUUGUAAAUUCUAAUUUAUGUAUGUUACUCCAGUUUUUUUAUUUCGAAAUUUAGAAAUAAGAGAAGGAUUAAAUUAUUUGCUGUCUUACUAAACUUUUUUUAUAUACAUUGGAGAACUACGAUUUAAAAUUAAAAUAUGUUUUACCUCUAAAUUUACAAUUUAAAUGGUUUAUAAAUGUGAAAUGCUUGCAAUUCCUUAGUGAAAGUAAUCUCUUUUGGCAACACCUUUGAUGUAUCCACCUUAACAAAAACUUUAGCUUCCUCCAAGUUGGUACACGCAAUGGUUUCCGGUUGGAGUUUCACCUCACCGACUUUUGCGAUGUGAGGCGCUUGAUCCAAAAACUUUCCUACUACGAAAUAUUCUCAUAACGGAGUUGAAUUCGCAAUAAUCUCAUCUUGAAUUUCCAACUUGUUUCUUCAACGAUUUCUUAUCUUGCGCAACAUCAACCCAGCUCUCCGUUUUCUUCGUUACUCCAGCCCGAUCUGUAACCACAUCACCCUCCAGAAUCUCCGUAAUCACCUUAACACCCUUCGGAGGAUCCGACAAAUCCGGCGGAAUAGCCAGAUCCAUCGAUCGAAACCCUGUCACUUGUCGCACUCAAAAUCGCCAAGAAAACCAGCCUUUUACAAAUCGACCUAAUUACAUACCAACCAUCACUUUAUAUAUGUGUAUGUAAUGAGAUCAACCCUUCUGGAGUGGGCCUGGGUGGACUUGGCUCAAGACGAUUUGCUACUGUGCUGCCCAUGAAGCUUUCUCGUAAACCCAAGCUUCACACCAUGUUUUCAAAAUUUUUCUACGUUUCAACAUGUCCCAAAAAGAUAUUUUGGUGUCGAUUGAAGUCAGCUUUGUCGGUCAUAAUGUCUCCCAAACAGUCAGUUUUUGUGGACGAAAGAUUUAUUUCAGACAACAUUCUCACUGCACAUGAAAAGAUACAUAACAUGCGAAUAAACUAAUCAAUCUCCAAAUAAUUCAUGGUGAUCAGAUAUGUCAAUAACAUAUGACAGGUUUGGAUUGUCAUAUCUGAGAAAAUUGUUGGUAGCAGUGGGUUUCAUCAAAGAUGUAUUGAAUUGGUGCUGUUAUGUAUCAUGUCAGACACUUGCUCAGUUUUGAUCAAUGAUCAAUCGUUAGAUAGAUUUGUGUAGGCGAGAGGACUGAGGUGGGGGUAUACAAAGCAAUUCCUCUUCAUUCUAUUUAUACAAGGUCUUGGAAAAUGGAAUUGUAGAAUGUGAACGAGUUAUAUAAAAGCAUUCGCAUUCUUUUUGUGCAGGAGUCUGAUGAAAACACGAUAUUUUAUUUAAAAAGAUAGCUUAUGCAAGAACAUGAACUAAAACUACUGACAAAGUUUUUUUAAAGCAUUGCUUCUAGAGAAGAGCUCUCCCUUACAUAAAGAAAAUAUUAUUUGUGAAACUAAAACAUUAGAGUUUCUUGAAUAACGGUUUGGCCUCUCUUCUACAGAGGUGGCAACCAUGUGAUUAUAACCGGGCUACGAACCUUAUGCGUCGCACUCUUCCACAAAAGACCACCAAACUCAGGCCUCUUCAUCCGCAGCUUCGUCCUGAAAGUAACAGUGUAGGAAAGCUUCUGGUGCUUGGUAGUGAAGUUGAGUGUCUUGGGCUGGACUGUGACGGUUGCGCCUUUGAAAGGAGAGACAGAGACCUUGUAGCUAGAAACGUGAGGACCAACGUUGGUCACGGUUCUUCUAAGUGUCAUAGCUUUAACAUGUGUGUUCUCUGGGAACAAAGCUGAGAUCGCCGGGUAGUUCAAGUUUCCAGGGUUAUUACCGGCAAGACUGUGUCUGCAAGAUCUGUUUGAAUGCUUUGUGAAGACCUUGAGCUGUGAAGGACUCAACUCCUGAGUGCAUAGGAAAUCAAAAUACUCCUGAGGUCCAAUGUCGUAGACUAGACCAGGAUCUAUAGCUUUCAGAGGAUCUAUAUGUCCAGCACCGUGAUCAUAAGGCGACGAAGGUUCUGCUCCUGCUGCAUCCGUAAGAGGCUCAAGCAUGUUGUCGUGAACGUAAGCGGUUGUCAUGAGAGCUGAUUUGACCGCUGCAGGGCUCCAAUCUGGAUGCCUUGAUCUGAUUAAAGCAGCCACGCCGCUCACGUGAGGACAUGAC
RNAcentral lists this long non-coding RNA (4430 nucleotides) under Brassica napus (rape). RNAcentral's name for it is "long non-coding RNA (BNAP_LNC000681)". Lineage: Eukaryota; Viridiplantae; Streptophyta; Magnoliopsida; Brassicales; Brassicaceae. The record is from RNAcentral.